GGGUCAGUAGGUUGGUCGUGCCACCGGUACGUACUGGUCUCACUGAUUCCUCCUUCCUGAAGAACCGUAAUGCCAUUAAUUUGGUGUUGCGGGGAAACAGGACUGUUACUUUGAAAAAAUUAGAGUGUUUAAAGCAAGCUAACGCUUGAAUACAUUAGCAUGGAAUAAAGAAAUAGGACGAUCGAUCCUAUUUUGUUGGUUUAUAGGAUUGAAGUA
RNAcentral lists this ribosomal RNA (216 nucleotides) under Glomeromycotina sp. RNAcentral describes it as "partial small subunit ribosomal RNA". The stretch from base 40 to 216 matches the Rfam family "Eukaryotic small subunit ribosomal RNA", at positions 686 to 864 of the family's 1831-position model. Lineage: Eukaryota; Fungi; Glomeromycota. The record is from RNAcentral.